CAAAAGUGGAAACCAGAGGUGUCAUUUCCCAAACAUGCCUACUACAUUGCAAAAAACUAUGAGGCCUGGAUAACAGGAAACAACAUUCAAACCUUGGAAGAACUGAACCUCCUCAUACAAAUGGAGCAGUUCUUGGAUGGUGUUCCUGAGGACAUCACACGGUACAUACAAGAUGGAAAACCCAAAGAUCUCGCUGAGGCGGGGGAGAUUGGAGCCAAAUGGAUGGAACUGGCAGAAAGCAAGAAAGCUACUGUCAAGGGGAACGAUUACCCCAGGGGGCACACAGACCAUAAACCCUACAACCGAGGACAGCCAAAGACCCUACAUACCACCCAAGUAAAGCCACAGAUACCCUACUCUUCAACCUCACCAGUCUCCAGUAACUCACCUCGGCCCAGUGACCCAUCAGAUGGAAGAUGCUUUAAGUGUAAUGAACUGGGACAUAUCAAGGCCAACUGUCCCAAGAACACCAUGCGAGUGCAAUUCAUUACACCACCAUCACACCAAAGAUCCCCAGGCCCGGAUGCCUCUCAAAUACCCUUGGAGCGAAGGGAAAAUUUGAGAGUGGGCGGAAAGAAGGUUACUGCGUGGAGAGACACGGGGGCACAAGUGUCAGCUAUCCACCAAUCCUUCGUUGACCCCAAAUUCAUCAACCCAAAGGCCAAAGUUACAAUUUACCCCUUCAUGUCACAAGCUGUAGACUUGCCUACAGCUCAACUGCCUGUCCAGUACAAAGGCUGGUCAGGAAUGUGGACUUUUGCAGUCUAUGACAAUUAUCCUAUCCCCAUGCUACUGGGGGAAGACUUGGCCAACCAGGUGAGGCGGGCCAAGAGAGUGGGAAUGGUUACACGUAGCCAAACCAGGCAAGCUUCCAGACCCAUUCCUGUUCCUGAGCCGUCCACAGAGGCCCCGUCUGUGUUACCAGAGACCCAGACAGAGGUAGUGGACCCGGAUUCCAUGCCUACCACUGAAACAGCCACAACACCUCCAGUCAUUUCGAUGGCGUGGGUUCGGAUCCCACCGCUGCCACCAUGUCAUAACCUUAGUCCCAGAUUUGGACCUUAGCGUCCAAAUAAUGGUGGCAGCAAGUACCAGGUCCAAGCUGGUAGCUAAG
Molecule: long non-coding RNA, 1114 nt
Filed under: Gopherus agassizii (Agassiz's desert tortoise)
Lineage: Eukaryota; Metazoa; Chordata; Testudines; Testudinidae
Description: lncRNA (ENSGAGG00000024541.1)
Source: RNAcentral